This 538-nucleotide long non-coding RNA is filed under the name Pan troglodytes (chimpanzee). Its description in RNAcentral is "long non-coding RNA NONPTRT005975". The record is from RNAcentral. Lineage: Eukaryota; Metazoa; Chordata; Mammalia; Primates; Hominidae.
AAAAAGUUUUCAGAGUAGUUAAAAUUGGUGUCUUAACAGCUAUGCAUGGAAAGGUCAUGUAUUAUACCCAUGGAGAAAUACUUGAGCCUAUUUUUUUUUCUCCCACACAGUUCCAACAAACUCGGCUAUCUGGUUUCUCCACCACAACAAAUUAGAAGAGGGGAGAGGAGCUGCUACAGAAGUAUAAACCGUGGGCGACACCACAGCGAAAGAUCACAGAGGACUCAAGGCCCGUCACUACCAGCAACUCCAGUCUUUGUACCUGUUCCACCACCUCCUUUGUAUCCGCCUCCUCCCCAUACACUUCCUCUCCCUCCGGGUGUUCCUCCUCCACAGUUUUCUCCUCAGUUUCCUCCUGGCCAGCCACCACCUGCUGGGUAUAGUGUCCCUCCUCCAGGGUUUCCUCCAGCUCCUGCCAAUUUAUCAACACCUUGGGUAUCAUCAGGAGUGCAGACAGCUCAUUCAAAUACCAUCCCAACAACACAAGCACCACCUUUGUCCAGGGAAGAAUUCUAUAGAGAGCAGCGACGACUAAAAG